This 8723-nucleotide long non-coding RNA is filed under the name Homo sapiens (human). Its description in RNAcentral is "HSALNT0270796". Lineage: Eukaryota; Metazoa; Chordata; Mammalia; Primates; Hominidae. The record is from RNAcentral.
CCGGUUUAAGCACAUCACUCCCAUUGUUUUGGGUUCCGGUUUUAGCACAUCACUCCCAUUGUUUUGGAUUUCUGGUUUAGCAGGUCACUCCCAUUGUUUUUGGUUCUGGUUUAAGCACAUCACUCCCGUUGUUUAGGGUUCUGGUUUUAGCACCUCACUCCCAUUGUUUGGGUUUCUGGUUUUGCAGGUCACUCCCAUUGUUUUGGGUUCCAGUUUAAGCACAUCACUCCCAUUGUUUUCGUUUCCGGUUUUAGCACGUCACUCCCAUUGUUUUGGGUUCCAGUUUUAGCAAGUCACUCCCAUUGUUUUGGGUUUCUGGUUUAGCAUGUCACUCCCAUUGUUUUGGGUUUCCAGUUUAGCAUGUCACUCAUAGGUUAUGGUGGCCUUAUGGUUGCACAUUUUUUUUAAUCUCUUGUCAUUCCAGUUGAAGAGAUACCAUUUGACAUUUUAGAGAUGGCUGCAUGCAAACUCUUGAAACAUUUGACUUGUCCAAAUGUUCCAUUGGUCCCUGUUCAUCCCGCCCUGCAGCUCUCCUUGACUGAUUCUGCCCUUUGUGGUUUGCAGUCCUGUUUCUCUACAGCUUGGACCCCUUCAAUCUUUCCAUCAUAGGUUUAACUCUCUGUUGAAUUCUUAUUUGUAGCUACGCAAAUGUUACCUUAAGCUAAAAAAAUUCAAAGUGAAAGCCACAUCCUCCUCUCUUCCCUUAUGUGUAUGGUAUUACUACCAUGCAGCCAGUGACCCAAAAUGGGAUUUUUUCUGGGCUUUUCUUGCUUAGAUUCAGGCUCAUCUGGUGUCAAGCCUUGUUACUUUUGUUUCCUUGUUCUUUUAUUUUUAAUUUUUUUUCUUUUGAGACAGAGUUUCACUCUUGUUGCCCAGGCUAGAGUGCAGUGGUGUGAUCCCGGCUCACUGCAGCCUCCACCUCCCGGGUUCAAGCAAUUCUCCUGCCUCAGCUCCUGAGUAGCUGGUAUUACAGGCAUUUGCCACCACGCCUGGCUAAUUUUGUAUUUUUAGUAGAGAUGGGGUUUCUCUGUUUUGAUCAGGGUGGUCUCGAGCUCCCGACCUCAGGUGAUCUGCCCACCUCGGCCUCCCAAAGUGCUGGGAUUACAGGCCUGAGCCACCGUGCCUGGCCUGCUUGUUGUUUUCAUCUCAUCCUGAUUUCUGAAUACAGGAGAGGAGCUGAGUUGGUGUUCACUAACAAGCACAGAAGCUUUGUUACAUUUACAGUGUCAUUCUUGGCAAAACCUGAAUGGUAUGUUUGUGGGGUGAUGAGGUUCAGUCCCCUGUGACCUGUGCAUCUGGCCAACACUGUGGUGACAUCCUUAGGAAUCCAUGGGGAGAGACAAAGCAUUCAGGAGUUAGUGGGUCACGUUUGACAAGGGCCAAUAAAGAAAUAUGCAAAGACAAAAAACAAGAAGAACAUUAUCAUAUUUUAUACCUUUUGUUUAUAUAAAUUUAUGUCAAUGAUUCUAGCUUAUGUUAAUAUACAAUGUAUACAAUAUGCUAACAUAUACAAUAUAUGUUUAUAGUUUAAACAUUUCUGUCAUGUUUUCAGAUUCUUUAAAGAUUACAUUACACUUCCUAUUUCAGAUAGCUGUUUAAAAUGAGUAAGGAAAAACGGAUGUGUGCAUCAGUUCUAACUGUUUAUGGACUAAAACUAGUUGAUUUCUUGGUUAAGAACAAAAAGUGACAACCUAAUUAACUGAAAAUUUUAAGUAGGCAAUUAUGGUUUUAGCUUUAAUGUAAAAUAUUAACUAUGCUCCAUUCUUGCAUUUUUAACCUAAUACUCAAUAUAAAUCGCCACAUGCCAUGUUUCAGAUCAAGGUUCUACUUGUGAUCUCUCAUGAGUUUUUCAAGGUUUUAAUUAUCUGAGAUGUAACAAUGUACCCAUAACCUUACUGGCUUAAACCAGGAAUUUAUUCUUUUUACAUGUCACAAUUUUCUGGGUCAAGACACUGGACAGAGCGGUGUGGGUUGGUUGCUUCAUGAUGUCCCUGGUCUCAUCUGGAAGGACUCUAGUGGCUGGAGAUGUGAAGCAGGCACCCAGAAGGACUCUAGUGGCUGGGGACAUGGAGCAGGCACCCAGCCCUCUCUUUGUGGCCAGCACGGACUUCCUUCCAGUCUGGUAGCAUCAGGUAGUCAGGUUUGUCUGGCUUCUCCCAGGGUGUGUGUCCAAGAGGCCCAGGCAGAAGCUGUAAGGUCUCUCAUGAUCAUCCCUCAGAAGUCCCAGAGCAUCUCUCCUGCCACACUGUCCAGUUGUACUCAUCACUGAGACCAGCCAUGAUUCAAGGGGGAAAGGUGAUUAGAUUCCACCUCUUGAUGAGAAGCAUAGUAGGAACCUGCAGCAGUCUUUAAUAAACCACAGCUUGUCCUCUGGCCACAAACUAUUAACGUUUCUCCCACAUGCAAAUUAUGCUUUGCCCCUCUCAAGAGCCCCAGAAUGGUUUUCCUUAUGGCACUGGCUAGUAGCCCAACUGAAUCCUGAAUCAGGUUGUGGUGGCUUGUCAUCUGCACCCACACACACUCAGCUGCAGUGAGGACUGAAUCAGGUUGUGGUGGCCUGUCAUCUGACCCCCCACACACAGCCACAGUGGGGACUGAAUCAGGUUGUUGUGAGCUAUCAUCUGAGCCCACAAACUUAGCCGCAGUGAGGGGACUGCUGUGAAAACAGUCGACAUUUCCCUUUAGAAGCUUUGGUGGGAGGCAAGAGGGAAGUGCUGCCCUGCAGGCCCCGUCUAACAGUUGGUCAUUCCCAUGGGGCGCCUGUUACAGUUCUGUGAUUAGUGCCCAGUCCUGGUCCCUGAAAACGGCGCCCAGUCCUGGUCCCUGAGAAUGGUGUUUGUGUCCUUUUACUCCUCCCUCUGGGCUUUUGUCAUUCUCCAUGUUCUUUUUCCUUCAGUGCCUGGGUUGCCGUUGACCAGCUUUCCCUGCCUUUUUCUUAUGGUCAAUAGGGUAUUCAAUGGCUUCUUUUUCAUUUUUUUUCCUUUUCUUUUCUUUUCUUUUUUUUUACUUUGGCCUUUUGAGACAAGAAAUUAUUUCUUUAUAUUUUCUCUAAAUUCUGUUUGAAAACUGAACCUUCUUCUUUAGAUCAUGUCCCUCUCCUGUCAUAUUUAUUCAGUGACAGUUAGGGGAGGCUGGUAGCACUUUCCAUGUUCUUCCCAGAUGUCUCCUUAGGCAGAUCCCUGAGAUGGUGCAGUGCCCUUUCAGUUUCCAUGUUGUGGCCAUAGUUUUCCCACAGUCCCUCAGCAAGUAACUCUCAGACCUUUUCUCCAGUUUCCAAUGACAUUUUCUCACCGUCCUUCAGGCCCUGACCAAGAGUCUUGAUGCCCUUCCAGGUUGCAUGAAUGGUCUCCUUGAGGCCCAGUUACAGGUCAGCCUCACAGUCGUGUCACAUAUUGUAGCUUCUGAUUACCACAGCAGCUCAUUUCCAGCUGCCAUAUUCUGUUCCAGUUAUCUAUUCUGAAGUAAAACAACUCAUUAUUACUUGUUUUUUGGCUUAGAGAGUCUUGGUGGCCAGCUCAUCUCACACACAGUUGCAGCCAAGCUGGAUUGUGUGAAAGCACAGUGGGGUGGUGUGCAGGGUGGCUCACUAGUGGUUGGGAGUGGAUGUUGCUGGAGGCUCACUAGUUGUUGGGAGUCGGUGUUGCUGGAGGCUCAGUGGGGGAUGUCAAUGCGUGUAGCUAGUCAUGGACUGGCCUUGUGGUUUCCAUCAUGAGGUCUCAGGGGAGUGGGAUUUCCUGCCUGGUGACUGGCUUUCUCCUGGGUAAGUGUUCUGUUUUCUCAGCCUGGCUUCUGAAGUCCCCAAAUACCAGCUUUGUCACCUUCUGUUGGCCAAAUAAGUCAGUAGUCUGGUCAAGGUUUAAGGGGAAUUGGUUCUCACAGAGAGAGGAGCAGGAAAGAAUUUGUCACCUUUAGUCUACCAGAAAUGAGAUUUUUAUAACAAGUUUAUUCCAAAUACAUUCCAGUUCCCCUUGUGAAUACUUUUUUGACUCACAGGGUAUUUCAAAGUUUAUUACUUGGUUUUCAGACAUUUGAGGCUUUUCUGGAUAUCAAUUUGUUGUUGGUUUCUAAUUUAAUUUCAAGUGUUCAGACAACAUCCUUUGUAUACUAUUUCAGGCUUGAACCUUUUCUCAAUCCAUCGACAUACAGUCUAUCUUGGCACUGCCAAGUACCAUUUGGGUCAGGAUUUUGUCAUUUAGAUCCGUAUUUUUCCUAUAUUUUUAUCUGGUUGUUCCGUCAGUUACUGAGAGAGCAGUAUUAAUUCACCAGCUAUAAUUUUGGAUUGUCAAUUUCCUGCUUUUGUUCUGUUGUUUUUGAUUCACAUACUUUGAGGUUCUGUGUGUGUGUGUGUAGUUUGUGUGCACUUUGAGGCACAAUUUAUAAUUGUAACAUCAUCCUCUCUGAUUCUUUUAUUUUUAUUAAAUUACCCUGUUUAUUUCUGGUGAUAUAUUUUGUUCUGAAGCCUCUUUCAUCUAGUGUUAACAUCUCUGUUGAAGCUUUUUAUGAUUAGUGUCUGGAUAGCAUAUUUUUAUGUUUAGCAUCUGCAUAGCAUAUUUUUUCUCAUACUUUGUGUCUUUGUGUUUAAAUUGUGUCUCUGUGGAUGCCAUAUUGUUGGGUCUUGCCUUCCUCUCAGGUCUGGCAGUCUCUGUCUUAAGUAGAGUAUUUGUCCACUUACAUUGUAACUAAUCAUUGCUAAGGUUGGAUUUAGGUCUGCCAUUUUUCUACUUAUUUUCUAUUUGUUUGUUUAUUUUUUUUAAGACAGGGUCUUGUUCUGUCACCCAGUCUGUAGUGCAAUGGUGCAAUCUUGGCUCACUGCAACCUCUGCCUCCCAGGCCCAACCAAUCCUCACUUGAGCCCCCUGAGUAGCUGGGACUACAAGUGCAUGGCACCACACCUGGCUAAUUUUUAUAUUUUUGUAGAGAUAGGGUUUUGCCAUGUUGCACAGGCUGGUCUUGAACUACUGAGCUCAAGCAAUCUACCCACCUUGGCCUCCCAAAGUGUUCAGAUUACAGGCAUGAGCCACCAUGCCUGGCCUUCGUCUGUCUUUUGAUCUUCUAUAUAUUCUUUCCUAACUUCUUUUGGGUUAAAUAUUUCUAAAUAUUCCAGUUUGAUUAAUCUUUUGGCUUUUGGAAAUAAUUUUUUAUAGGCUGGGCAUGUUGGCUUAUGCUCAUAAUCUCAGCUCUGUGUGAGUCCAAGGGAGGUGGAUUGCUUGAACCCAGGAGUUUGAGACCAGCCUGGGCAACAUGGCAAAACCCUCUCUACAAAAAACCAAACCAAAAUUUAGCCUGACAUCUUGGUGUGCACCUGUAGUCCUAACUAUUUGGGAGGCUGAGGUGGGAGGGUUGCUUGAGCCUGGGAGGUUGAGGCUGCAAUGAGCUGUGAUCAUGCCAUUCCACUCCUGCCAGGGCAACAGAGUAAGACCGUGUGUCAAAAAAGAUCAUUUUUUAUAAAUAAUUUAUAAUUUCGAAUUUUGGUAACAAACACAUACCUUAAAAUUUACCAUCAUAACCAGUUGUAAGUAUACAGUUUUGUAGAGUUAAGAAUAUUUACAUUGUUGUGUAGCAGAUUUCUAGAUUUUUUUUUAUCUUAGAAAACUCUAUACCCAUUCAACAACUAUUAAUUUCCCCUUCCUUCCACCUCCUGGCAAGUACUAUUCUACUUUGUGUUUCUAAAAAUUUGGCUUAUAUACCUAGGGUUAUAUAAUAUUUGUUUUUUAAGUAGGUUCCAUGUUAUGUGCAGAUGUGUCAGGAUUUUCUUCCUUUCUAUGGCUGAAUAAUAUUUCUUCAUAUAUAUAUAUUUUCUCUAUAUAUAUAUAUAUGUAUAUUCUUUUGUUUAUCCAUCUAUUCCUGGAUGGACGUUUUGGUUUCUUCCACCUCGUGGCUAUGUAAUGCUCCUGUGAACACAGGUGUACACAUAUCUGUUUGAGGUCCUGCUACUAGUUAUUCUGUCUCUGUAGAAGUUGGAUGGCUGGAUCAUAUGGUCAUUUUAUUUUAUUUUUUUGAGGAGCCAGUUAAUAUUUCCACCAACAGUGUUCAAGUGUUUCAGUUUCACCUGCACUUGUUACUUUCUGUUGGGUUUGAAGUGAUGUCCCAUUGUGGUUUCUAUUUGCAUUUCUCUAAUGAUUAGUGAUGUUACACAUCUUCUCAUAUAUCUCAUGUAUCUGUUGGCUAUUUGUAUAUCAUCUUUGCAUCUUUGGAUGAAUGUUCUUUGUCCAUUUUUUAAUCACUUUAUUUUGUUGUGUUGUAGCUGGGUUUUUUGGUCAUGAGCAUUCAUUUAUCUCACAGUUCAUUCUUGUUACUUGGGCCAGGGUCAUGAUCAUUCAUUAUCUCUCAGUUCAUCCUCAUUACGUUGGGCAAACAGUCAUGCUGCAGGGUAUAGAUUAUGUUAUUCUGUUACUUUCAGGUAGAAUUCGGGUCUAGGUUCUAAUUGUUUCUAAGUUUAGAUUCUGAAUGAGAAUCAGCAGAGGUAGACCACUGCUGCUGAGGCCUGGGGAUUGCUGGGAAAAAGGCAGGAAACAGAUAUUGACCUGACCAUGGAGGGUUUAUGUUUCACGGCUCCCAUCUGGGUACCCAAGGAACCUACAUGUAGCUCGUGUGUGGAGAGCCUACAUUGCCCACUCAAAGCAAUUGAGGAUGGAACAGUCUUGGGGCUGGAGCUCAUUAUUUGGAAUGAUAACCACAUCUGCACAGAGAGGACCUGAUAAGAUGUUGUCCUUCCAUGUAUAUCUGGGAAUCCUGUGUAGGGUCUCUCUGUAAGGACAGGGGCAGUGUUGGCUCCUUGGCCUCUAGUUAGCUUCACAAGUAGUCUAGUAAAGGCUUUGCCAACUUGUCACCAUCUGUGGAUAUUCUGGUCAGCUCUUGUUUUCACCCUACUGACUUCUUCAGACACUAGGCUUUUGCUUUAGACCAUUCAUGGUUUUCUUCCUCUUCAAAUCAGUAAUCAAUAAAUCGCCUUCAAGUCAAUAAAUUUCCACUCCUUUAGGAAACCCUGAUCUUCUGGUCACACCAAGGUUUAAUUAACUGGUUUGAUUGUUUUUCUGUUUUCUUGGAUUUUUUUUCCUUCUUCCUGGGGGUUUCUAGUAAUUCUAGUUUGAUGUCUCACUUUCUCCAUUUUUUAUUUCUUAGUUUUCUUCUGUGAUUAUUUUCACUGCAGCUGCAGGGCCUAAUCCUGGGUUGGCAGAGAACUAGCACUUACUCUGCCCUAAUUGGAAUCCAGGAGAGAUAGCAGGUUCCCUAGUGUGAAAAUGUGUUUGCUCCUCUCUGCUUCUGGUAGUCUCUCUGUAGGAGUUCUUUACGCAUUCUGAAUGUUCACUUCUUAUGAGAUACAUGAUGUGCAACUAUAGGUUGAAUGUCUCUGAUCCAAAAAUCUGAAAUCCCAAAUGCUCCAAAGUCUGAAACUUUUUGAGUGCCAACAUGACACUCAAAGGAAAUGCUUAUUGGAGCAUCUCAGACUCAGGUGUUUGAAUUUGAGAUCCUCAACCAGUAAGAAUAGUGCAAAUAUUACAAAAUCUGAAACACAUCCCAAGCAUUUCAAAUAAGGGACACUCAACUGGUAUUUUUUUUAAUUUUACAGUUUGCCUUUUACCCUGUUGGUUGUGACCUUUGAGGUACAGAAGUUUUUAGGUUUGAUAUAUUUUUGCUUUUACUGCCUGAGCUUUUAAUGUCAUAUCCUAAAAAUUAUUGACAAAUUCAUCGUCAUAAAGCAUUUUCCAAAUUUGUUUUCCCUAGGAGUUUGAUAGUUCUAGUUUUACAUUUAGGUUUAUAAUUCACUUUGAAUUGAUUUUAACGUGGUGUAAGGUAAGAGUCCAACUUCAUUGUUUUGCAUGUAGUUAUACAAUUUUCCCAUCAUCACUUGUUGAAGAAACUGUGCUUUUCCAUUGAGUGGUCUUGGCAUCCUUCUGGAAGAUCAUCGGACCAUAUAUGCCAGGGUUGGUUUCUGAGGUCUCUGUUGUGUUGGUCCAUAAGUGUGUCAAGAGUGUCUUUAUGCCAUGACCACAUUUUUUCUUUUUGGCUUAUUGCAGUUUUGUAAUUGCUUUGAGACGUUUAAUUUUGUUCUGUUUCAAGAUUGAUUUGCCUAUUCAUGGGCCCUGGAGAUUCCAUAUGAGUUUUAGGAUAGGUUUUUCUGUUUAUCAAAAAUGUCAUUGGAAUCUUUAUAAGGAUUGUAUUGAAUCUAGGUCACUUCGAGUAGUGUUGACAUCAUUCCAAGAUGAAAUCAUCUAAUUUGCAAACCCAGCUUUUCUUUUCAUUUAUUUGUGUUUAAUUUCUUUUAACAGUGUUUUGUAGUUUUCUGUGUUCAAAUCUUUUGCCCUCUUGGUUAAGCUUAUUUCUAAUUUUUAUAAUGCUGUUGUAAAUAUAAUUUUUUUUUUUUGAGAUGGAGUCUUGCUCUGUCUCCCAGGCUGGAGUGCAGUGGCACUAUCUCAGGUCACUGCAACCUGCACCUUCCUUAUUCAAGCGAUUCUCCAACCUCAGCCUCUCAAGUACCUGGGAUCACAGGUGCGCGCCACCAUGCCCAGCUAACUUUUUGGUAUUUUUAGUAGAGACAGUGUUUCUCCAUGUUGACCAGGCUAUUCUUGAACUUGUGACCUCAGGUGAUCUGCCCACCUCGGCCUCCCAAACUGCUGGGAUUGCAGGCAUGAACCACUGCACCCAGCCAAAUGUCAUUCUUUUUAAAAAUUUCUUUUCUUUUGUUUUCUCUUUCUUUUCUUUUCUUUCUCUCUCUUUCUUUCC